CGAGUUUGAUCCUGGCUCAGAUUUAACGCUAGCGUUAUGCCUAACACAUGCAAGUUGUACGGUAGUUCUACUUAUUCGUAGCGAACGGGUGAGUAAUAUAUCUAAACAUACCCUAGAGAUUGAUAUAAUUUUGUGAAAACAAUUCUAAUAUCAUAUAGAAGGAAUGCAUAAACAUUCCUAAAAGUUUUUAUAUAAACAGAUACUAUGAACGCUUUAGGAUUGGUAGAUAUCAGAUUAGUUUCUGUGUUGUUUAAUAGACGACAUAAACGAUGAUCUGUAGCUGUUCUGAGAGGAAGCACAGCCACAUCAGGACUGAGACAAGGCCUGAACCUCUGCGGAGGGCAGCAGUGAGGAAUUUUGGACAAUGAGCGAAAGCUUGAUCCAGCAAUAACGCGUGUAUGAAGAAGGCUGAAAAGUUGUAAAGUACUUUUGUUGGUCAAUAAAAUUUCAUAUACUUUUUAAAAACUAUGAAAAUGAAUAACCAAAGAAUAAGCACUGGCUAAUUACGUGCCAGCAGCCGCGGUAAUACGUAAAGUGCAAGCGUUAAUCGGAUUGAUUGGGCGUAAAGGGUGUGUAGGCGGCUUAUUAUGAUGUUUAUCAAAAAAUGAUUAUCGUCGUUUAGUAAACAUUACUGAUAAUCUUGAAUAUAUUAUAGAGGGAGGUGGAAUUUUGCAAGUAGUAGUGAAAUGCGUAGAUAUGCAAAGGAACACCAAUGGCGAAGGCAACCUCCUGGGUUUAUAUUGACGCUAAUACACUAAAGCAUGGGUAGCAAACAGGAUUAGAUACCCUGGUAGUCCAUGCCCUAAACGAUGUCAACUAACUAUGGUAAAUAAUACUUAUUGUAGUAAAGCUAACGCGUUAAGUUGACCGCCUGGGUAUUACGAUCGCAAGAUUAAAACUCAAAGGAAUUGACGGGGACCUGCACAAGCGGUGGAUGAUGUGGAUUAAUUCGAUGCAACGCGAAAAACCUUACCUACUCUUGACAUGUAUAGAAUCGAUAAAAUAUAAAGAGUGCCGAAAGGAGCUAUAACACAGGUGCUGCAUGGCUGUCGUCAGCUCGUGUCGUGAGAUGUUAAAUUAAGUUUUAUAACGAGCGCAACCCUUACUCUUUUAAAAAUUCUAUAGAAAUGUUACUGUUUUACACUGUUUUUAUUUCUAUAUUAAUAUAUCAGAGAACUGCCUUUAUACGGAGGAAGGAAAGGACGACGUCAAGUCAUCAUGGCCCUUAUGAGUAGGGCUUCACACGUCAUACAAUGGUUAGUACAAUAAUAUUUCAAAAAAAAACUAACCCUAGUUCGGAUUGAAAACUGCAACUCGUUUUCAUGAAGUAGGAAUCGCUAGUAAUCGCAGAUCAGCAUGCUGCGGUGAAUACGUUCUCAGGUCUUGUACACACCGCCCGUCACACCAUGGAAAUUAUUUAUAUCGGAAAUAUAUAGUAUACCUUCUAGGUCUUUUUAUAUAUCAUGAUAUAUGUGAUAACUGGGGUGAAGUCGUAACAAGGUAGCUGUACCGGAAGGUGCGGCUGGAU
This 1528-nucleotide ribosomal RNA is filed under the name Candidatus Vidania fulgoroideorum. RNAcentral describes it as "bacterial SSU rRNA". It matches the Rfam family "Bacterial small subunit ribosomal RNA". The record is from RNAcentral. Lineage: Bacteria; Pseudomonadati; Pseudomonadota; Betaproteobacteria.